ACAUUAAAAGGAUAAUUCAUCCCUGGCUGAAAAAGUGAGUUAACGGCCACCAUACCGGUCAGGCGAUAAGGCAGAUGAUAAAAAAACAGCUGAUUUGGUGAAACUCAUUCCAACUGGGAACAAGGACAAAUGUACAGCGGAUGCAACCAGUCAGGAGUUCUAUGAUAUGAUGCAUAAAGAGAGCUUCGACCAGAUAAAAGCAGUGGGAGAGAUGUGGAACAAAAACAAUGCAAAUGGUGACAUUGUAGCAGCAAUCGCAAAUAGAUGCGCAUCACAUCUUGGAUCAUGUUUCAAAAGAAUAUGUGAGUGAUAUUUGUUGGCUCAACGAACACAUGUGGAAAACCGAAGAGGGAAUAAUACAACAAAAUAAUGAAUGAACAGUGAGAAGAUGAUGAUUGUAUUAUUUUCUCAUCUAUUAACAAUAUGGUUUUCAUUUGCAUUAAUACAGAAAACAAAAUAGAUUCUUUUUUUCUGUAUUUUUAUUUUCUUCCAGAAUGUAUUGGAGUUGGUUCUGUAUUAAUGUGAAUAAAGAGCAAAUUGUAUAUGCACAAA
Molecule: long non-coding RNA, 552 nt
Organism: Nilaparvata lugens (brown planthopper)
Lineage: Eukaryota; Metazoa; Arthropoda; Insecta; Hemiptera; Delphacidae
Exons: 3
Source: RefSeq, a predicted model, not a curated record